Molecule: ribosomal RNA, 254 nt
Filed under: uncultured bacterium
Lineage: Bacteria
Description: partial 16S ribosomal RNA
Rfam family: Bacterial small subunit ribosomal RNA
Source: RNAcentral
CUUUCUUUGCUGGCGACCGGCGCACGGGUGAGUAACACGUAUCCAACCUGCCCUUUACUCGGGGAUAGCCUUUCGAAAGAAAGAUUAAUACCCGAUGGCAUAAUGAUUCCGCAUGGUUUCAUUAUUAAAGGAUUCCGGUAAAGGAUGGGGAUGCGUUCCAUUAGGUUGUUGGUGAGGUAACGGCCCACCAAGCCUUCGAUGGAUAGGGGUUCUGAGAGGAAGGUCCCCCACAUUGGAACUGAGACACGGACCAA